UUAAGUUCAGCGGGUAUUCCUACCUGAUCCGAGGUCAACAUUUCAGAAAGUUGGGUGUUUUACGGCAUUGGACGCGCCGCGCUCCCGAUGCGAGUGUGCAAACUACUGCGCAGGAGAGGCUGCGGCGAGACCGCCACCGUAUUUCGGGGCCGCCGCCCCCAAAGAGGAGGGGGCGGCCGAUCCCCAACGCCGACCCCCCG
This 200-nucleotide unclassified non-coding RNA is filed under the name Trichoderma sp. Its description in RNAcentral is "partial internal transcribed spacer 2". The record is from RNAcentral. Lineage: Eukaryota; Fungi; Ascomycota; Sordariomycetes; Hypocreales; Hypocreaceae.